AGUAAAGUGGUCGAUUUAGGCAAAAGAUUGUAAAUCUUUCAAUGGCUACUACCAGCCCUUUGCAA
Molecule: transfer RNA, 65 nt
Filed under: Hyriopsis bialata
Lineage: Eukaryota; Metazoa; Mollusca; Bivalvia; Unionida; Unionidae
Description: tRNA-Tyr
Source: RNAcentral